GUUGUUUUCUUGUUAUUAUCAUAACAUAGUUACGUUUGUAACAUCUUCUUCCCGUAGUUUCAUUUUCAAUGUUACAUAUAUACGUUUGUGACGUUUUCUUAUUGUAGCCUCGUUUUUAUUGUAAUUGAAACAUGCUCACGUUUUUGACGUUUUGAUAUUGUAGCCUCGUUUUAAAACUGACAUGGUUACGUUUGUGACGUUUUCUUAUUGUUGCCUCGUUUUCGUCGUUACACGGUUGCGUUUGGGACGUUUUUUUCUUUAGCCUCAUUUUCACUGUUUCAUAGAUACGUUUGGGACGUUUUCUUACUGUCGCCUCGUUUUCAGCUCUAAGUUUGCGUAGCAUCGCUUUCAUCGAAACAGGGUUUGUUUAAGUCACGUUUUCAUCAGAAAACGAAUGCGUUUGUGAAUGUAGGGGAGUAAGUUGUUGACAGUAUGCAAUUGGCAGUAAGCAGUUGACAGUAAGCAGUAGGCAGUUAACAGUAGGCAGUAUUCCAUCUGUUACUUUCCUACCAAGUGCGACAUUUAGCGUCAAGGGGUUGCGACAUUAAGCGGCAAUCGAUUUUUGUGCGACAUAUAGCGGCAACGUUGCGACAUUUAGCGGUAGGCGAUUGAGACAUAUAGCGUUGAUUGCGACAUAAAGCGUCAGCGUUGCAACAUUUAGCGUUAGUUGCGACAUAUAGCGGCGUUGCGACAUAUAGCGUUGAUACAAAUGUUCUGGAAUUUUUUAUUAAAAACACGUGAACGCUAGUGGCAGUUAUAACUGAUCUAUGUGCAUAUAGAGGUCCAUACGUUCAGUCUAUCUGCUAAUGAAUAUCAAACUGUAUUCGGAAAAUGUUUUAAUGCAAUGUGUAAAUAUUCCUGUACAUUGACAAAUCAAAAUAGUUGCCUUUUAUGAGGACACGUACG
Long non-coding RNA from Ruditapes philippinarum (Manila clam), 906 nucleotides. RefSeq lists it as uncharacterized. Lineage: Eukaryota; Metazoa; Mollusca; Bivalvia; Venerida; Veneridae. The transcript is spliced from 3 exons. The record is from RefSeq and is a predicted model, not a curated record.